Molecule: ribosomal RNA, 430 nt
Filed under: uncultured bacterium
Lineage: Bacteria
Description: bacterial SSU rRNA
Rfam family: Bacterial small subunit ribosomal RNA
Source: RNAcentral
UGGGGAAUUGUUCGCAAUGGGCGCAAGCCUGACGACGCAACGCCGCGUGGAGGAUGAAGGUCUUCGGAUUGUAAACUCCUGUUGACCGGGACGAACGGGCCUAGAGUGAAUAGCUCGAGGCAGUGACGGUACCGGUUGAGGAAGCCACGGCUAACUCUGUGCCAGCAGCCGCGGUAAUACAGAGGUGGCAAGCGUUGUUCGGAAUUACUGGGCGUAAAGGGCGCGUAGGCGGCCUUCUAAGUCAGACGUGAAAUCCCCAGGCUUAACUUGGGAACUGCGUCUGAUACUGGAGGGCUUGAGUGCGGGAGAGGGAUGUGGAAUUCCAGGUGUAGCGGUGAAAUGCGUAGAUAUCUGGAGGAACACCGGUGGCGAAGGCGGCAUCCUGGACCGACACUGACGCUGAGGCGCGAAAGCUAGGGGAGCAAACGGG